ACUUUAUUGAAGCUUCGGUCGAUUUAAUUUAAUUCUAGUGGCGGACGGGUGAGUAACGCGUGGGUAACCUGCCUUAUACAGGGGGAUAACAGUCAGAAAUGGCUGCUAAUACCGCAUAAGCGCACAGAGCUGCAUGGCUCAGUGUGAAAAACUCCGGUGGUAUAAGAUGGACCCGCGUUGGAUUAGCUGGUUGGUGGGGUAACGGCCCACCAAGGCGACGAUCCAUAGCCGGCCUGAGAGGGUGAACGGCCACAUUGGGACUGAGACACGGCCCAGACUCCUACGGGAGGCAGCAGUGGGGAAUAUUGCACAAUGGGGGAAACCCUGAUGCAGCGACGCCGCGUGAAGGAAGAAGUGUCUCGGUAUGUAAACUUCUAUCAGCAGGGAAGAUAGUGACGGUACCUGACUAAGAAGCCCCGGCUAACUACGUGCCAGCAGCCGCGGUAAUACGUAGGGGGCAAGCGUUAUCCGGAUUUACUGGGUGUAAAGGGAGCGUAGACGGUGUGGCAAGUCUGAUGUGAAAGGCAUGGGCUCAACCUGUGGACUGCAUUGGAAACUGUCAUACUUGAGUGCCGGAGGGGUAAGCGGAAUUCCUAGUGUAGCGGUGAAAUGCGUAGAUAUUAGGAGGAACACCA
Molecule: ribosomal RNA, 635 nt
Filed under: uncultured Lachnospiraceae bacterium
Lineage: Bacteria; Bacillati; Bacillota; Clostridia; Lachnospirales; Lachnospiraceae
Description: bacterial SSU rRNA
Rfam family: Bacterial small subunit ribosomal RNA
Source: RNAcentral